This 555-nucleotide long non-coding RNA is filed under the name Homo sapiens (human). RNAcentral's name for it is "long intergenic non-protein coding RNA 865". Lineage: Eukaryota; Metazoa; Chordata; Mammalia; Primates; Hominidae. The record is from RNAcentral.
AGAUGAAAAACUGACUUUUGAGGGAGAGGUUUGCAUCUGUGGAGGAAAUGAAGUGAAGUAAACAACAGAUAGAAACAGGCUUUCUUUGAAGCCCCCCUUGUUGGGACCUGGGAAAGAUGAAUUGAGAGUCUGACAAUUUAAAGCUCUGACAGAAAUAUUUACUGCUGGCUACGAUUUAUUUUUUUCUGAAGGCUGCUACCUGUGAGGUUUCAUCUGCAUAGUAAGACCCCUUUGCUAGUAAGGUUGCUAACUUUGGAGGAAGCCAGCUGCCAUGUCACAAAAAGAUUCAGGAAGCCAUGUGGAGAGGCCCACAUCAUGAGGAACUGAGGUCUUUGCCAAUUACCAGCAAGGAAAUGAGGCCUCCUGCCAACAGCCACGUGAGUAUCCUACCUUGGAAAUGGACCCUCUAACUUCAAUCAGCCUUCAAAUAACUGCAGCCCCAGUUGAUGGCUUGACUGCAACCUUAGGAGAAACCCUGAGCCAAAAACAUUGAGGAAAAACACCCCCAGAUUCCUAUCAGAAAUUGUGUAAGAUAAUAAAUGUUUGUUGUUUUAA